RNAcentral lists this transfer RNA (77 nucleotides) under Alteromonas sp. RNAcentral's name for it is "tRNA-Met". It matches the Rfam family "tRNA". From Rfam's summary of the family: Transfer RNA (tRNA) molecules are approximately 80 nucleotides in length. Their secondary structure includes four short double-helical elements and three loops (D, anti-codon, and T loops). The record is from RNAcentral. Lineage: Bacteria; Pseudomonadati; Pseudomonadota; Gammaproteobacteria; Alteromonadales; Alteromonadaceae.
CGCGGGAUGGAGCAGUCUGGUAGCUCGUCGGGCUCAUAACCCGAAGGUCGUAGGUUCAAAUCCGGCUCCCGCAACCA